GAUGAACGCUAGCGGCAGGCCUAACACAUGCAAGUCGAGGGGCAGCACAGAAACAGCAAUGUUUUGGUGGCGACCGGCGGACGGGUGCGUAACGCGUAUGCAACCUACCUUUAACAGGGGGAUAACGGAGAGAACUUUCCACUAAUACCCCAUAACAUCGAUCAAGGCAUAUUGAUUGGGUGUAAACUCCGGUGGUUAAAGGUGGGCAUGCGUUGUAUUAGGUAGUUGGUGAGGUAAUGGCUCACCAAGCCUACGAUACAUAGGGGGACUGAGAGGUUAGCCCCCCACACUGGUACUGAGACUCGGACCAGACUCCUACGGGAGGUAGCAGUGAUGAAUAUUGGUCAAUGGGGGCAACCCUGAACCAGCCAUGCCGCGUGCAGGAAGACGGCUCUAUGAGUUGUAAACUGCUUUUAAACAGGGAUAAAGCACAGUAUGUAUACUGUGUUGAAGGUACGGUAAGAAUAAGGAUCGGCUAACUCCGUGCCAGCAGCCGCCGUAA
This 502-nucleotide ribosomal RNA is filed under the name uncultured bacterium. Its description in RNAcentral is "partial 16S ribosomal RNA". It matches the Rfam family "Bacterial small subunit ribosomal RNA", at positions 28 to 523 of the family's 1533-position model. The record is from RNAcentral.